GCCAGCAUGGUGUAGUGGUUUGAGUGUUGGACUACCACUCUGGAGACUUGGGUUUGAUUCCCCACUUUGCCA
Molecule: transfer RNA, 72 nt
Filed under: Phrynosoma platyrhinos (Desert horned lizard)
Lineage: Eukaryota; Metazoa; Chordata; Lepidosauria; Squamata; Phrynosomatidae
Description: tRNA-OTHER
Source: RNAcentral